GAUCAGAUAUUUUCCACCAUCUUCUCUCUCUCGUUCUUUGAAGAUUAGGGUAUUUUCACCACGAAAAUUCCCUCUUAGCUUCCGCAAAUUUCUCUCUUAACAUGGUAUCAGAGAGGGACAUGAGUUCCUAUCCCCGCUUAACUUCAUUCGAUCGUACUCGUAUAGUUUGCUGUUUACAAUUUUAGGUUAUUGAAACCCUAGCUUUUGAUUUGGGGUUUUUCUUCGACUGAAACGAAAUUCAAUAUCAGCCAUGGUUUUUCGAAGGUAUAAUGACGGUUCGCUGGUGGCGUUCCUCUUAUUUCGACCGGUAUUUCCUCUUCUGCUUCAGAAUUUAAUCUAUUUUGAAGGCCUUGUCUUUUUCGAGUAGUGAAAAAGGACGGUACUUUCUUCUCUAAUCUCUAAUUGCAUGCUUCAAUUUCUGGUAAAUUUCUACUGUAUUUGAGAAUUUUGGAUGCAAAAUGGGUGAUGAACAUGUGAAUUCCUCUAGUCAAUCCGAUGGCUUCACUAUAUUCACUUUAGAUCCCUCACAUCCUCUUUAUAUUCUUCCCUCAGAUAGUCCUGGUACUCACUUAGGGGUCAUUUGACACGAGGUAUAAGAAGGUAUAAGGGUGGUAUAAAAAUUUAAUACCACCUUAAUACUCUGUUUGGUUAGCAAACCAGUUAUAAGUUAUCCCGGUAUUAAUUUUAACAUUGGGAUAAUGUAUACCUUGUAGAAGGUGGGGUAAUUAGCAUCGAUAUAACUUAUACCUUCUUCCUAGAAAUUAUGCAAUUGUCAUUCUUAAUACAACAUACCAAACAAUGAAUAAACAACAAUCCCAGCAUAACUAAUCCCAGCAUAACUUAUCCCAAUAUAACUUAUACCGGCAUAACUUAUACCGGUAUAAAUCGUAUUCCAACUAACCGACCCCUUAGUAUCUCCUCCUUUCGAUGGUACUGGAUUUGUUGCCUAGCGUAAAAGUAUGUUAGUUUCCCUUUCUGCCAAAAAUAAAUUGGCAUUAAUUGAUGGUCGUCAAUCUAAACCUCAUAAUGACUCACCUUAUUACCUCUACUGGGAAAGGUGUAAUGAUAUGGUGGUCGUCUGGUAUGAGAGCUUUGGUCAGUCUAACGGUUCCAAGUUCAUUCAGAUACAAAGGAAAAUUGGAACCAUUUCCCAGGGUACCUUAGACAUAGCCUCUUAUUUCACAAAGUUUUGUAGUCUUUGGGAUGAGCUUCAGACUGCUUAUGUAGGUCCUACAUGUUCAUGUGGUGCUCUACCCAAGUUUCUUGAUGAAAUGAAACUGUAUUGGUUGUUGGCCAGACUGAAUGAGUCAUACAAUACUAUCAAAAGCAACAUCCUCAUGAUUUCACUACUCCCAUCAGUUAGUAAGGCCUAUUCCAUAUUAUAACAUGAUGAGAGACACAGGGAAACAUCUCUAGCUCCAAGCUUCUCCAAUGAUUCUAUCUCUUUCUCUGCAUCCUCCACUCCUUCAACCUAUUCACAAAAUCAUGGUGGGCAAAGAUCUUUCAAUAAGAAGAUCCAAUUUGAGCCAAAGAAACCUGGACAACCCAUGAUGUGUAGAUACUGCAAAAAAUCAGGUCAUACCAUUGAAAAAUGCUAUAAACUUCAUGGGUUUCCUUCUGACUUCAAGUUAACAAAAAACAAGAGAUCAGCCUCCUGUGUUCAAGCUGAGGGUACUACUUCUACCCUAUUGGCUUCAUCUAUGGAAUAAUUUUCACCUGUCAACCAUGGAUUCACUACAGAAUAAUAUCAACAGCUUUUUACCCUCCUGAAGCAAUCACACAUCUCUUCUGGAAUCUCAAGUGAUUCUCACUCUGGAGACAAUCAUGUAUAUGCUCACUUUGUAGGUUUGUUUUGCAGUCCUGUAGUUAAGACUGUGGAUUUCCAUGCUUGUGCAUCUUCACAAUUAAAUGUUAACACUUGGAUUCUAGACUCAAGGGCUACUAAUCACAUGACACCUCACAAAUACCUUCUUCACAAUCUUCAACCAUUAACAAGACCUUACUUAAUCACUUUACCAAAUGGCUAUAAAGUAAAAGUUGUAUCUACUGGAUCUUUACAACUUAUAUUUGAUAUUGUGUUACACAAUAUUCUACUUGUUCCAUCUUUUCUGUUCAACUUAAUUUCAAUAUAUCAACUUCUUUUGCAACUUCAUUGUAUUGCAGUUCUCACUACUUCCCUUUGUGUCACGACCCAAACCGAUGGGCCGCGACGGGCACCCGAUACCUUACUCAAUCGAGUACCAAUAUAACGUAUCAUACUAUCGUAGAUUACUGAGCCGAAAAGCUGCCGCGCGAUAAGUAGAAUACAAUAUAAGAUACCAACUUAUACAUAAGACAUAAGGCCUAUUAGAACAAAUAUCCACUCGUAUACUGAACAUAGGCCAACAAGGCCAUACAAUCUUUUACGUGCAUGACAUCUGUCUACAAGUCUCUAAGAAUAUAUAAUUUUCAUAAAGGUUGGGAAAGAGUCCCGCAAUAAAAUAAUACACGUCUAAAUUAUACUAACCAAACGAAAAACUCCGAAGCAAAUGGAGCGCACCAACAUCUUCCGCUGAGCUGAUAGCCUACUUGGAGGGCUCUCGACCUGUCUAUCGGGACCUGCGAGCAUAAAACGUAGCGUCCCCAGGCAAAUGGGAUGUCAGUACGAAUAAUGUACCGAAUAUGUAAGGUAUAUAAAUAAGUACAUAACAGACAUGGAAGAAAUAUAGAGUAAAUGACUCAACAUGUAAGUCUAGAUAACUCUGUAAAUCAUGAAAUAUUUAUAAGGUCAUGCAUAUAUGUAUAAAUGUCAUGCAAUGCAUAUGUAUGUACGUACAUAACAUCAUCAAGCCUCUGAGGGCAUGCCAUCAUAUCAAUUUGGCCAUUGUGGGCAACAUCAUCGUAUACCAGCUGAUCAGGUGGUGAUGCAUAUAUAACGUCGUAACCUUUUUCCAUAUCCCAUAUACAUAUAUAUACAUAUAUACACGUAUAUAACACCGUCUGAGUCAUGAGUAAAUGCACAUGUAAAUGAAUGCAAUGCAUGAGAAGUACGUUAAUAAAACUUCUCGGAACGUCAUAAGACCAUUAUACCUCUGAUUAAUAUCAUGAAAUAAACUUUUUUCAACUUAUGUAUUUUUAUGAGACCUAUGAACAUAUGAUAAAAUAAUAGGACACGGGGAAAUUCAAGAACAUAGGUGCCUCUAAUACUUCUAUUAAUAGUCAUUAUGAAAAUUGCGCAUUUUCUCGUUUCGUUUAUAUCGUAUGGAUCAUGCCAAAAGAAAGGAGGGAUAACCUUAAAAUACCCGGAGCAGGGAAAAUCCGUAUAAUAUUCUUGGAAAAGGUUGCACCGCACUCCCUUAGAAUCGCAAAAUCUCAUGUUGCUAAUGUGCUAAAAAAUCUCGUUGGAUUUAUUUUGUAGGAAUUCGUUGAAGAUUUCUUAGAAAUCUCUUUGAAGACGUUAGGAAUACUUGUAGGAAUUGUUACUGACCGAUUGUCAGUGUCUUUAAAUUGGAAAGAAAAUUGCUAUUGUUUGAUUGUAGAGUUUUGUAAGGAUUCACGUUGGUAUCCAUCUGAUUGUAAGGUAUUGAAAAUGUUAGAAAUGGGUUAUUAUGUAACUAAGGCAUUAGUUUGCCACGUAAUUAAGAAUGACCAUGAGUCAUUUGUUUGAUUAGAUCUUUGCUGCCACGUGGGGGUGGGGUGGGAAAAGUUAAUCUUUAUCCACUUAUUAGGUAAUUAGGUAACAACCCGUUGCCCGGUAAUUACCAAUUACGCGCAUAAUUUUUAAUUAUCUCAAAUUACUUAAAAUUCUACUUAUUUUUAAUGUACUUUAUACAUCCUACUAUCAUGGUCAUAUGGUACCUUGUAUGGUACUAGUUCAUAAAUAUCCAGUACUAACGCUCGAUCCGAAUUUUAUCCCAACAUGCCAAACUUGGACCGAAAAUUCAUUUUUUUUGACUUGCUUCCCCUCUCACCUUCACGAAUUUACUCAUUGUUUGAAAUAGCAUAAUCCUUAUAAUCUCCAAAUAAUUUUUUUCUUGGACUGAUGUCAAUUACCUUACGACAAAUUCAAUGUACAAUACUACAGGGUGCAACAUCGUCGUAAUUUAAUACUGCAAAGCGUAACAUCAUCGUAAUGUAGUACUGCAAGGCAUAACAUCGUUGUAAUAUAAUACUGAGGGACAUAAUAUUGACGUAAUAUUGCGGGGCAUAACACAUUGCUUCUUACAGGGCCCUUCUCUGUAGAGGCCACUGGGAAUUGGUAAGGUUGAAAAUGGAUUGUAUUAUCUUCAUCUUGAUAGUCCUUUAGUUUCCUCUUUUCCAUUUGAUGUUUCAUGUAAUGUUUCAUCUUCUGUUCCUAUUGUUUCUCCUGUUUUCAAUUCUGUCAAUCCCCUUCCAUUAGUCCCUCAUGUAAUCCAUCUCUUGAUAUUAAUAAGACAGAUUUGUUUUGGCAUCAAAAAAUGGGUCACAUGCCUUUCAAUAAUAUGAAAUCUAUUCCUUUUAUUUCCUCACAAAUUUCUUCUAAACAAUCCUUCCUAUGUCAUAUAUGUCCUAUGGCAAGACAACAAAGGUUGCCAUUCUCUGAUAGCACUACUCAAUCUACUACUCCUUUCUAAUUGAUCCACAUUGAUAUCUAGGGACCUUAUAAUACUGCUACAUAUAGUUAUUUUAGAUACUUCAUUACCUUAGUGGAUGACUACUCCAGGGUAACUUGGACUCACCUAAUUUCUAGCAAAAGUAAUGCCUUGUCUGUACUCAAAGCUUUCACUUUUAUGGUACAGAAUCAUUUCCACACUUCAGUUCAAACCUUCAGAUCUGAUAAUACUUUUGAACUAGGUUCUAGUUUAGAAUCCAGAUCUUUCUUUUCUUCUCAAGGGAUUCUGCACCAGGCCACUAUUCCCCACACACCACAACAGAAUAGUGUUGUGGAAAGGAAACACAAACACCUCUUAGAAACUUCCAGAGCCUUAUUAUUUCAAUCCAACUUGCCUACUAAAUUUUGGGGUGAUUGUGUCCUUACAGCCACUUAUCUCAUCAAUAGGUUUCCCUCUACUGUUCUUAACAACAUAUCCCCCUAUGAGAAACUACAUGGACAUUCACCUUCUUAUAAUCAUCUUUGAUCUUUUGGAUGCCUUUAUUUUGCUACCUCUCCUAAACAUAGUAGAGAUAAAUUUCAGUCUAGAGCAAUCUCUUCCAUUUUCCUUGGCUAUUCUUGUGGGAAGAAAUGAUACAAAUUGCUUAAUAUGUCCUCUCAAUCUAUCUUCUACUCUAGAGAUGUUGUUUUUCAUGAGUAUGUUUUCCCCUUCUCCAUUAAUUCUUCUAAUGCUUCCCGUCCUUCACCUUCCAGCUUUGUUGAUAUUCCUCCAUAUAGUACACCACCUGUUGUUUCUCCUCAUUCUGCAUCUCCACUUGUUUCUCCUCCUAUUCCUCCUUAUUCUACAUCUUCCCCUGUUUCUUUUCCUCCUGCUGUUUCAUCUCCUAUUUCUUCCUCUCCUUCUCCUCCUAGUGAUGUUCCAGCUUCUUUACCACCAUCUUCUGCUGCAUAUACCUCCUAUCUUCCUCCAUCUAUUCCUCCUCUUAGAAAGUCCCUUAGAGUGUCACAUCCACCUCCUCAUCUGGAAGACUAUAUCUGUUCUGCCCCUGUAUCUACUACUUCUAACAUGUCCACCACAGAAUUGCACUUGCAUGAGCCUCAGACUAUCAACAGGCUGCUUCCAAACCUUCUUGGCAGGAGGUCAUGCUAAAGGCGUUUCAAGCAUUAGAGGCUAACAACACCUAGGAUAUUGUACAUCUUCCCUCUAACAAAAAGGCUAUCCCUUUCAAGUGGGUGUAUAAAAUCAAACAGAAAUUUGAUGGUUCUGUUGAGAGGUACAAGGCAAGGUUGGUCAUUAAGGGUGAUACUCAGAAGGAGGGAAUUGCCCCAGUUGUCAAGUUCACUACUAUCAAAUGUCUUCUAUCUCUUGCUAUAAAGAGAAACUGGAUUGUCUAUCAACUUGAUGUUAAUAAUGCCUUCCUCCAUGGUAUUCUACAUGAGGAAGUUUACAUAAAGGUUUCACCUGGGAUACAGGUUUCCCCUACUGAUUCUUCUCCAUUCCCUUUGGUUUGCAAGCUCAAAAAAUCUCUAUAUGGCCUCAAGCAAGCAUCCAGACAAUGGUUUUCUAAAUUGGCUGAGGCUUUGUCUACAAGAGGCUACAUUUCUAGCAUGAAUGACUAUUCCUUGUUCACAAAGUCUACCUCUACUUUCUCUUACAGUCCUAGCUGUGUAUGUUGAUGAUAUUUUACUAGAUGGGGAUGAUGUUGUUGAAUUAGACAGUGUUAAACUAUUCCUUGACCAACAAUUUAAGAUAAAGGAUUUGGGGACAAUCCAUUAUUUCCUUAGUUUGGAAGUCACUAAAUGUCCUGAAGGCUACAUCAUCAGUUAACAGAGGUUCACAAAUGUCCUGCUAGCAGAAUUCCAUUGCCAAAAAAUUUCCCCUGUUGUGACUCCUCUUGAUACUUCUGUCAAGUUAUAUGCUGAUAUGGAUGCCCCCUUGACUGAUCCCAUCACCUAUAGGAGAAUUAUUGGCAAGCUCAACUUUCUCCAACACACAAGGCCGGAUAUAUCUUUUUGUGUUCAACAUCUAAGUCAGUUUCUUCAAGCUCCUCAAGUUUCUCAUAUGCUUGUUGCACUUCAUGUGCUGAGGUAUCUAUCUAAUGCUUCUGCUUUAGGGAUUCUCUCUCUUCCUCUUUUGAUGUUUCUAUCAAGGCCUACUCUGACUUUGACUGAGCUGCCUAUGCUAAGUCAAGAAGGUCUGUUUCUGGUUUUUAUAUUACACUUGGUGGUUCCCCAAUCUCUUGGAAAAGCAAGAAGCAACUCAUUGUUUCAUUGUCCUCUGCUGAAGCUGAAUACAGGGCUCUCAGAAAGGUGGUUGCAGAGGUCUCAUGGUUGGCCAGGGUACUGGGUGAUCUUGGUUUACAUGUUUCUGCUCCUGCUCCCAUCUAUUAUGACAACCUUGUUGCUUUACACAUUGCCAAGAAUCCAGUCUUCCAUGAAAGGACAAAGCAUCUCGAAAUUGAUUGUCACUAUGUGCGUGAGAGUCUUAAUUCUGGGCUGAUAUCUCUGCACUUUGUCCCCAGUUCUGUAACAGAAGUUCACAAAUGUCCUGCUAGCAGAAUUCCAUUGCCAAAAUCAAUUUUAUCAUCUAGGUAUCAUCCAUUUAAGCAUCUAGGUGUCCCUCUGGACAGAAUUUUACUAUGGUGCAAUGGCAAUCCUUGAUUGAGAAAAUAAUAGUAGCAAAAAUCUCCUCUAAAACAGUAAAAAAAAAAAAAAACAUUUGCUGGUAGAUCACUUCAACUGGUGCAAACUAUCUUUUUUGGUAUUCAAUCAUACUGGGCUUAAUUGUGAACACUGCAUGUAUAUGUGCUUUGUCAAAAUAGUACUGAGACCAAAGAUCAGUUAUUUUGAGGAUGUCCUUUUAUCUAACCUACGUACUAUGGAGCACACUUUUGAGAUGGGUGCAGAGAUACAACAAAGUUGGCUUCAUCAACGUCGUUUCCAGUGGAUCAUACAACAGUCUAAAGGGAAGAAAACGAUGGCCAGAUUGCUUAUAUACACUGAAUAUGUGCAUGUAAUAUAGAGACAAAGGAAUUGCUCAAUCUUUGAACAAAUCUCAAAGAGCCGGACAUUAAAUGGUGGAUCCCGAAGAGGCACGAUGGUUUAUUAGAUGCCUAUAUGAUUUUGAAACGGUUCUUUUUCACCUUUUUUUUUUAAUUAAUUAUUAGAGAGCUGUAAUGUAAUCAAGCCUUUAAUUGUUUGGACGAACUGAAAAUCGUGAAGAUUUUUGUUCAUAACACCUGGGUUUCGGAUAAUUUUGAAACGGU
This 7836-nucleotide long non-coding RNA is filed under the name Nicotiana tabacum (common tobacco). Its description in RNAcentral is "long non-coding RNA (NTAB_LNC013979)". Lineage: Eukaryota; Viridiplantae; Streptophyta; Magnoliopsida; Solanales; Solanaceae. The record is from RNAcentral.